RNAcentral lists this ribosomal RNA (462 nucleotides) under uncultured bacterium. RNAcentral describes it as "partial 16S ribosomal RNA". It matches the Rfam family "Bacterial small subunit ribosomal RNA", at positions 28 to 507 of the family's 1533-position model. The record is from RNAcentral.
GACGAACGCUGGCGGCGUGCUUAACACAUGCAAGUCGAGCGGAAAGGCCCUUCGGGGUACUCGAGCGGCGAACGGGAGAGUAACACGUGAGUAACCUGCCCCAGACUUUGGGAUAACCCUCGGAAACGGGGGCUAAUACCGGAUACGACACAGCUCCGCAUGGGGUCUGUGUGGAAAGUUUUUCGGUUUGGGAUGGGCUCGCGGCCUAUCAGCUUGUUGGUGGGGUGAUGGCCUACCAAGGCGACGACGGGUAGCCGGCCUGAGAGGGCGACCGGCCACACUGGGACUGAGACACGGCCCAGACUCCUACGGGAGGCAGCAGUGGGGAAUAUUGCACAAUGGGCGGAAGCCUGAUGCAGCGACGCCGCGUGAGGGAUGACGGCCUUCGGGUUGUAAACCUCUUUCGGCAGGGACGAAGCGUAAGUGACGGUACCUGCAGAAGAAGCGCCGGCCAACUACGUG